AAAUAGGUAGAAAACAAGUGGAUCUAGAGCAAAUAAGAAAUUCCAUUGUUAGCACAUAGCAUAGAGCGUAAAUGAUGCACAAGGUAGAACACCUAAAGAUCCGGCUAGCUAGCUAUUUGGAAAUAGUUUUCAUUGAUCAGCCAAAAAGGCUUCAUUACCAAAGCGAAUUGCUUUCCUAUGAAAGAAAUCAACCUACAUAGAAGCCUCACUUGCAUUUCCUGUUAUACAUAAAUGUCAACAUCGAUGAACUACUUUAAUGUCAAUCAGAAUGAGAAUGGCUCAUUGAAAGGGAUUGUCAGAUUCCUUCACAAGUCCUCAGUUGAAUCAAUCCCACUGAAGCCUUUGCGAUGUGUAGUAAUCCGAUGUCUAUUUCGGUGUGCGUGUGAGGCCAGUUGCAACAAAGCAGCAAGCACUAUUUUUUAAUCCUGUUUUGACUCUUGACUAGGUGUAGGACGCCUCUGAACAAGAAACCGCUUUGUGCUUUCUAAUACACCAAAGAAGAUUGAACCACCAAUGCCUAUCCACAAAACUCUUGGCUCUAUCCCCUUGAGAAGAGCAGUAGGUCCUUCUUCUCUAACAAGAGUUUGAACACAAUCAAAGAUCCCGUUGUACUGGUUAGCAGAACCCUGAACCAUUAACCUUGUCUUAAUCACAUCAAGUGGUGUAGUUAUAGCUCCAGUUAGUGCUCCAGCAAAAGCACCAAUGAUAGCAUUUUCUGGAUCAUUCAAUUCUCUCCGUGCCGCCACUUUAUACCCUAACCGAAGUUGUUCAUAGAUACAAAACUGAAUCGCAUCAAAUGGCAAAUCUCGCAGUAAAAAUGACCCAUAUCCCGCAUAGAGCCCCUUAAAACCUUCCUUAGAGACAAUGAGGCGGACAGCAUCAGGGGCUGAGGCAAAUUGCCCAGUCUGCAUUCUUUGCUUAACAACCUCUGUUGGAACACGAAUUAGAGAAGCAGCAACCCCUCCAAUGGCACCUGCAGUUAGAUGAGCUACAGCACUAAGAUUUUCAGGAAACAUCCUCAACAAUUUCUGCUUUGUAGGCUCAUACACUCCAACAAAUAAUGCAGAAGCCGGUAAGACACCAGCAAGAUUUCCAGCUAAUCCAGAGUAAAGACCCUUCAAAAUUAUUUUUCCACCACCACGAGCUGCCUGAAGCCUUGUCUUUAUUGUGUCGAUUGGAUAUAAUGCCGUUUCAACUACAACACCAGCUAUACCUCCUGCUAUAACUCCCUCAAAUAAAGCACGCAAAAAAUCGAAUUGUUUUUCUUCUUGCACUCUCAUGGAUGCAAAAGGCUUUCUUGUUUCCAUGUGCGAAGAGUUUUGCAUUUUCCGAAUUGGUGCAUCUGAAGGGACCUUGGAAGAGCCUCUUGCAUCGAUAGCUAAUGUAAAAGGACCCAUCAGAGGUGUCCAGCAACAAACUAGAGUAUGAAGAAGGCAGCACAGCAGCUUCGGUCUAGUGGAAAC
Molecule: unclassified non-coding RNA, 1463 nt
Filed under: Hevea brasiliensis (rubber tree)
Lineage: Eukaryota; Viridiplantae; Streptophyta; Magnoliopsida; Malpighiales; Euphorbiaceae
Source: RNAcentral